This 495-nucleotide ribosomal RNA is filed under the name uncultured bacterium. RNAcentral's name for it is "partial 16S ribosomal RNA". It matches the Rfam family "Bacterial small subunit ribosomal RNA", at positions 28 to 505 of the family's 1533-position model. The record is from RNAcentral.
GAUGAACGCUGGCGGCGUGCCUAAUACAUGCAAGUCGAGCGAACAGACGAGGAGCUUGCUCCUCUGACGUUAGCGGCGGACGGGUGAGUAACACGUGGAUAACCUACCUAUAAGACUGGGAUAACUUCGGGAAACCGGAGCUAAUACCGGAUAAUAUAUUGAACCGCAUGGUUCAAUAGUGAAAGACGGUUUUGCUGUCACUUAUAGAUGGAUUCGCGCCGCAUUAGCUAGUUGGUAAGGUAACGGCUUACCAAGGCAACGAUGCGUAGCCGACCUGAGAGGGGGUACGGCCACACUGAAAUGAAACCCCGGACCAGACCCCAAGGGAGGCAGGGAGUGGGAAAUCUCCCGAAAGGGGCGAAGGCUAGAAGGAGCAACGCCGGGGAAAGGAGGAAGGUUCUGGGACGGAAAAACUUUUUUUUUAGGGAAAAAAAAAUUUUUAGGUAACUAAGCACGUUUUGCGGGACCCUACCAAGGACCCCAAGCAAAACUAAG